Molecule: long non-coding RNA, 981 nt
Organism: Cyprinus carpio (common carp)
Lineage: Eukaryota; Metazoa; Chordata; Actinopteri; Cypriniformes; Cyprinidae
Exons: 3
Source: RefSeq, a predicted model, not a curated record
UGUUACUCAAACAGCCAGGAAAAUUCUGUUGUUGUCUUUUUUCCCCCUCUCUCUCUCUGUCAAGCAAAACAGCUGGGUCAGCUACAAGUGAGAUGUGACGUUUUUCGGCUCAUUCUAAAUGAAGACAUUAAGACAUGAAACACCCCUCACACCCCACUCGCACAACCCCCCCGGCCUUCCCCGAUCCCCACAGACUUUUUCAAUUCACUAGAGUGUCUGCAUAGUUCCCUCAUUCAACUGGAUACAAUGAUCCGCGAGAUGAAUAAAGUUAUCUCUGUGGUGAAUGGGAUGUUGCUGAAGGGAGGAGACAGGGAGGACCCAACGGGGGCCUGAAAGAAGCCCCGUUUGAGGGGCAGAUCUGAGGGGUCGGGACCCAGCUGCCUGGCCGGGUGAAAGGGACACCAGCGGGCUGGACAGGCCCAAGGAAACAACAAAACAAAUCCCCUUCCAAUAAAGACAUCCCACGCCGGACUCGCUCGGGUCCUGCUGCAAAAGUUGCUGAUCACUCACAUUUCACACAUUGAAACUUUGCUCUUUAGGCUGAGUGCUAUACAUUUUAGUGGCAGUUAAAAAUCACAGUCAGCUACUUUUUCCCUCCACUUUUCGAAGGGGGGAGGUACUGAAGCCAGACUAGUCCUAGUUAAUUUGAUGAAAACAACAGGGCUACAAAGGCACCCCGUUCUCUUUGAAGUCACUGUCACUCAUGGGAAGGCGGUGAAGGUGAUGCACUAGGGCAACAUGGCCUCUUGCAUAAUUCUUCAUUCUUUCUUACCAGAGGGUCUGUGCCUGACUGGAGCAUAUGUCACAGCGGAAAGCAACAACAUCUGGCAACAGACAAUGAGAUAUCAGAGCUGAGUGACCUCCUCUGUUGGUGCAAUCUACAUCUGACCCUAGACCAUGAGUGUUCGGCAUUUGUUGACUGUCCACUGACCAGCAACAACCUUCCAGAUCACUGAAAAUGUCAGGCGGGUGGACCACCGG